This 22-nucleotide microRNA is filed under the name Mus musculus (house mouse). RNAcentral describes it as "mmu-miR-382-3p". Its record names the gene mmu-miR-382-3p. Lineage: Eukaryota; Metazoa; Chordata; Mammalia; Rodentia; Muridae. The record is from miRBase by way of RNAcentral.
UCAUUCACGGACAACACUUUUU